This 302-nucleotide long non-coding RNA is filed under the name Phoenix dactylifera (date palm). RNAcentral's name for it is "long non-coding RNA (PDAC_LNC018999)". Lineage: Eukaryota; Viridiplantae; Streptophyta; Magnoliopsida; Arecales; Arecaceae. The record is from RNAcentral.
AAAUUCUUCCUUUUGAUACAUAGAUUUAUUAUUAUUACUUUCUAUCAAAAAGGUUGCUUAAGCUUUUAUAUCAUGCUUUUGAUGCUUGUUUCAAAUCAUAUAUUGCUUUAUCAUAUUUGUAAUGAGUGUUUUCAAAUAUGGUGGUUAUUUAACAUAUAUAAAGUAAGCACAUAGGAGUCCAUUCUACACACUCAUUUGAUAAAAUAUAACGUUCAUAAAGCAAACAAAUGAUAAUGGUGAUUUUUACUUCUAAUCAUGCAAGAAUCUUAUCAAGAUCUAUUUCAUCUUUUCUUGAUUUAAUC